RNAcentral lists this unclassified non-coding RNA (377 nucleotides) under uncultured bacterium. Its description in RNAcentral is "contains 16S-23S intergenic spacer region". The record is from RNAcentral.
CCCGGUUUGGCACCGGCAGUCUCCCUAGAGUUCCCGGCAUCACCCGCUGGCAACUAAGGACAGGGGUUGCGCUCGUUGCGCCACUUAAGGCAACACCUCACGGCACGAGCUGACGACAGCCAUGCAGCACCUAGUUUCGUGCCCUUGCGGGCGGACAUGUUUCCACAUCCUUCACUAACUUUCAAACCCUGGUAAGGUUCCUCGCGUAUCAUCGAAUUAAACCACAUGCUCCUCCGCUUGUGCGGGCCCCCGUCAAUUCCUUUGAGUUUCAACCUUGCGGUCGUACUCCCCAGGCGGGGUACUUCCUGCGUUAGCGCCGGCACCCAGAGGGUCGCUCCCCCAGGCACCUAGUACCCAUCGUUUACGGCGUGGACUAC